AUUGAACGCUGGCGGCAGGCUUAACACAUGCAAGUCGAGCGGGGUGAUGGUGCUUGCACUAUCACUUAGCGGCGGACGGGUGAGUAAUGCUUAGGAAUCUGCCUAUUAGUGGGGGACAACAUCUCGAAAGGGAUGCUAAUACCGCAUACGUCCUACGGGAGAAAGCAGGGGAUCACUUGUGACCUUGCGCUAAUAGAUGAGCCGAAGUCGGAUUAGCUAGUUGGUGGGGUAAGGGCCUACCAAGGCGACGAUCUGUAGCGGGUCUGAGAGGAGGAUCCGCCACACUGGGACUGAGACACGGCCCAGACUCCUACGGGAGGCAGCAGUGGGGAAUAUUGGACAAUGGGGGGAACCCUGAUCCAGCCAUGCCGCGUGUGUGAAGAAGGCCUUAUGGUUGUAAAACACUUUAAGCGAGGAGGAGGCUCUUUUGGUUAAUACCCAAGAUGAGUGGACGUUACUCGCAGAAUAAGCACCGGCUAACUCUGUGCCAGCAGCCGCCGUAA
Molecule: ribosomal RNA, 503 nt
Filed under: uncultured bacterium
Lineage: Bacteria
Description: partial 16S ribosomal RNA
Rfam family: Bacterial small subunit ribosomal RNA
Source: RNAcentral